AACCCCACCUUUUAUCAGCAGGUGAUGCUCAGCGCCAGCAGCAGCCCAACACCCCCACAAUCAGCCAGCAUCAAGCAGAGCGUAAAGUAAAGCGGUGUACCACUGGUGAUGUGAUAAAGCUUUAAGCCUGUAAGAUGAGGUGUUGAGUGAGGGGGGCGGAGCUGAGUGUGUGUAGAGAGUAGAGAGGAUCAGCACACUGUCAUGCUGGUGUACUAAAGAGCUGAAACUCAGUGUGUUCUUCUCCCAGUGUGUGCUACACCACCAUGAUCAUUUUCACUGUACUGCUGCUCUCUGCUCUUACAGGUAACAGAGCUGAAGACGUCAUCACUCCUAGCAGAGACGCUGUUUUUGCUGUUGAAGGUCAGAAUGUUACCCUCUCCUGUAACUACACUGUAACUGCUGACAGUCUUCACUGGUAUCGACAGUAUUCAGGAUCAUCUCCUCAGUUCCUCAUACUGGACUAUGCAGGAAUCAUUACUAAAGCUCAACCUCCAGUUCCUAGAAUAUCCAUUAACCAUCAAAAAGAAAAGAGGAAAGUGGAUCUGAUCAUCUCCUCUACUGCAGUAUCAGACUCUGCUCUCUACUACUGCGCUCUGCAGCCCACAGUGACAGAAACCCACCAAACACUGUACUAAAACUUUACUUGUGAAAUAUGUAGAAACACUUAUAUUUCAGGAGGGGGCGCUGUUUCUCUUCUGCUUCUUUAUCUUCAGCUUCCUCACCAUUCAGGUUAGAACAUCAGUCUGCUUUGGGACAUCAGUCAUCAUGUUGUGACCUACAGUAAACUGGAACUCUCUAUAACCCUUUAUAAAUGUUUACAGAUACUUCUGUAAAAUAUGUUACAUUAUAUUGUUUGUAGAAACAUAUUAACUCUGAUUUUUAUUCACUUUUUAUAGACUAUUUCAAUUAACUUCCUCAUUUCAAGAGAAAUGCAUUGUUUAAGUUGACACCACACGAAUUCAAUGAACACCCUAUGGCAUGAUGUUGCCCACAGUUCAGAGAACAGUCUCCCCGGACUAUUAAGGGCGACUCCGCUCUCUUACACCUGA
Astyanax mexicanus (Mexican tetra) is the source of this 1049-nucleotide non-coding RNA. Lineage: Eukaryota; Metazoa; Chordata; Actinopteri; Characiformes; Acestrorhamphidae. The record is from the annotation of a RefSeq genome assembly.